UACGGAGGGUGCAAGCGUUGUUCGGAAUUAUUGGGCGUAAAGGGCAGGUAGGUGGUCUUGUAAGUCUACUGUGAAAUCCCCGAGCUUAACUCGGGAAGUGCGGUGGAUACUGCAAGACUAGAGUGCGGUAGAGGGUAGUGGAAUUCCCGGUGUAGCGGUGAAAUGCGUAGAGAUCGGGAGGAACACCAGUGGCGAAGGCGGCUACCUGGACCAGCACUGACACUGAGGCACGAAAGCGUGGGGAGCAAACAGG
Molecule: ribosomal RNA, 253 nt
Filed under: uncultured bacterium
Lineage: Bacteria
Description: partial 16S ribosomal RNA
Rfam family: Bacterial small subunit ribosomal RNA
Source: RNAcentral